RNAcentral lists this ribosomal RNA (1047 nucleotides) under Triticum aestivum (bread wheat). RNAcentral describes it as "partial small subunit ribosomal RNA". Lineage: Eukaryota; Viridiplantae; Streptophyta; Magnoliopsida; Poales; Poaceae. The record is from RNAcentral.
AUGACGAAUUUUGAUAAUGUAGGUGAAGGAGUUGGGAUGGAGAAUGGCAAGUACAAGUCAUCAAAAUAUUGGCCAGAUAUUGAAUCACCUACGGACGUAAAGAUAGGAACAUCUUUCACGAGUAUGAAUGAUACCUCCGUGCCCGUUGAUGACACGGGUGCUCUGGCGACGACACCGGGUAAAGGUGAAGCUACUGAUCCUUUGAUUAUAGACGAUAAUGGAAACUCUCCAUCUUCGGCAUCAACUGUACGUACAAAAGACUUUCCGUCUAUGUCCCGAACCCCGCAGAAUGCUGGUAUUUCUGGUGAGUCUAUGGAUGCUUUGUCACCAACAAAGUCUGAAGACACGUUUGAGAGUUUCCCGGCAGAGAGGAACAUAGGUAAUGGUGAAGGCAGUCAGGAAAAUGAAGAUCUGUUUGCAUCGUCACCACAUUCAAUUCUAGCAAGUUCUCUUAAUAUGACUCCGGAUCACAUAGACGCAGCCAGAGUUUUUGUUGAGAAUCUCGCAUCGUCAAAGAAGCAUGCACACCGAACCGUGGUUGAUGUGCCGCCACCAGAUGGGGACAUAUGCACGCCAGCUAUGCUUCACGAUGUCCUGAUGUUUAAAUGGUUGAAUGGCGCUAUCAUCAAUGCAUAUUGUAAACACCUACAACACCGUGAUUUUUCUGAUCGUUACAUAUCAACACUGUGGUUCCCGAAAUUUAUGUUGAAUAGGGCAAGGGGAAAGACCAAGUCAGUAAAUGAUUUAGACUCAGAGAAUGUUACGAAGAAAACAGAAGUCCUCGCAAGAGUAAUGGAUGAGUAUUUCAGACGGGACAAGGCGUAUUUUCCUAUGCACGUUAAUGAUAAUCAUUGGAUAACCAUAGUGAUGCACACCGUCAAGGAGGAGUUUCAAGUUCUUGACUCAAAUUCUAAAGCCGCAAUUAGCCAAAGAAUUCGCAAUAUGAUUGCCACCCUGAGAGCUGAAAUUUCUAAGGAUAUUAUGGAGGCCAACUCAACUCUUGAAGCAAAAAAUAAUUCCAGAUGCCUCAUUGUGGCCAAUAAAUGA